GCAAGCCCUAUUAGACUACCGUUUCCUUCCGCUGAAUCAGUUUACACCCGAAGGACUUCUUGCUUCACGCGGAAUUGCUGGAUCAGGGUUGCCCCCAUUGUCCAAAAUUCCCCAGUGCUGCCUCCCGUAGG
Molecule: ribosomal RNA, 131 nt
Filed under: uncultured bacterium
Lineage: Bacteria
Description: partial 16S ribosomal RNA
Source: RNAcentral